Long non-coding RNA from Manis pentadactyla (Chinese pangolin), 1778 nucleotides. RefSeq lists it as uncharacterized. The transcript is spliced from 2 exons. The record is from RefSeq and is a predicted model, not a curated record. Lineage: Eukaryota; Metazoa; Chordata; Mammalia; Pholidota; Manidae.
UGUUAUUAGUUACAUAUUUUCAAAAUUAUGAAUUAGGUAUGUUUUGAAAUUUAUACAUGCAGUAUGUAAUAGCUUGGUGACCAGUUUAUUUUGUUUUCUCAGAGACCGUCUUGGUGGCCCUUUGAGAUGUCUCCUGGUGCAUUAACUUUUGCUAUCCUCUGGCCUUUUAUUGCCCAGUGGUUGGUGCAUUUAUAUUAUCAAAGAAGAAGAAGAAAACUGAAUUGAAGAAAAUGGUAUUUAACUCAAGAGGACUGCUGGGCCUGGAUGACCUCAGGAUGAAAUAGACUGUGGAGCCCACAAGAUAAUGUUAGCUUGUGAUGAUUAUAUUUUUUUCUGUUGUCCAGUAGUUUGAUUUGUGUACAUGUAUACAUAUAUGUAUUUUGAAGUACACAAAUGAUAACAUUUUAAGGACUAAUAUUGCUGAUACUUGAAUAAUCAAUCCCAACUAGGUUAUAAGUAGCGUACAUAGAUUGACCCUACCCUUUAACUUGAAGGACAUUAAAUUAUUAAUUAUUGUUUGGUAACAUGUUUACCCGAUUAUCCACCAUAGAGAAAUGUAAGCUGCUUUUCCAGGGAACAGUUGUGAUCAUGAGAUCAGAUUUGUAAGUGGGUAUUUUUAAUUUUCUAAAUUAAAUAUGAGAAAGAAUGCAAAUUCCAGGAGUGAAUUUCAAAUGAGGGUUAAGUGGACUUUAUAUUUUAGUCACUGGAUUGCCAUGCGAAGGAGUAGAAAGCUGCUAGAGAGAACUGUCUCCACAUCCACUUUGUGGGCUGCCUGUACUCUUUCUUGGCCAUUCACAGCUCUGACUUGCGUACUCAAGCAUCAUUACAAAGUAGGGCCCUGUGUACUAGGCUUUCUUUUAACUAAUGAUUCAUAGAAAAGACGCGUAACCUAUCGAUGAAAAUGAAGGAUGGGUUGAAAGUGUAUUCUGAGCCUGCAGCUCAUUAAAGGUUUCUAUUCAGUCAUUUACACUGAUUCCUUUGUAAUCGUUUUUCUUUUAACUGAGGAUAUCUUGUUUCUGCUUCAUAGGGUGCUUUGAAAUAUAAAAUGAAAACUUACUUAUACUGUUUUUACAAAGGUCAAAAUGGAAACACGUGUAAGUCACUUUUCUGCAACUGGCAAACUGCACAGCCUGGACUCUAAACCUCCUAGUGCCUCUGUUUCUCCUUCUGGUAUGAUAUUUGAGAUGAUCUAUUUCACCGCAUAUGGGAGGUUUGCAAGCUAGCAGGCCAUAUGCAUCCAUGUGGGUAAGGCGUGCCCAAGUAAUGCCGAUCGAAGUGUCUCUCCCCCACCCCCGAUGUUUAGAUGAAGAAGAUGGUGACUUCACUCCUUGAAGGCUUUGUUUGGAGUUAUUCUUCCUGUAUACCUUCCAAAAGUCCCUUGUACUUUAAAUAUUUCUCUGAUUCAAUGGCUUAGUAGCAAAUAAUUUUUAAGCAUACUUGGUAUGUAUGAUGUUGGGUUUAGCAUUAUGUGUUCAUGCUAAGUUUUCAGUAAGAGAAAGUAAUCCAUCCCCAGCAUAGAGGAUGGUACUUUGUUUGUCUGAUGAAAAAAAGUGUAAGAAUACAACUGGCUUCUCCCAAGACUCCUUUUUCCUUAUUUCUUUUCUGUCGUGUAACUUGAUUUAAAAAUUUUUUUAAUCCCUUCUUGAUUAAAAUGUGUCUGAAGAGAACUACUAAUCCUUGCCUUUUCAAAACUUUCCUCUAUUUAUGGAAAAAAAAUGAAGCAAGUGAGUGAAUUAUAUGUAAAAAUAAGGUUCAGACCUGGUGGAUCAGAGGUUAUU